CCAAUAGCGUAUAUUAAAGUUGUUGCAGUUAAAAAGCUCGUAGUUGAAUUUCGGGAUCAAAUUGUCGGUCGUGCCUCGGUACGCACUGGUAUUAUUGGUUCCUACCUUCUGAAGAACCGCGAUGUCAUUAAUUUGGUGUCGUGGGGAAUCAGGACUGUUACUUUGAAAAAAUUAGAGUGUUUAAAGCAGGCUUACGCUUGAAUACAUUAGCAUGGAAUAAUGAAAUAGGACGUUUGAUUCUAUUUUGUUGGUUUCUAGGAUUGACGUAAUGAUUAAUAGGGAUAGUUGGGGGCAUUAGUAUUCAAUUGUCAGAGGUGAAAUUCUUGGAUUUAUUGAAGACUAACUACUGCGAAAGCAUUUGCCAAGGAUGUUUUCAUUAAUCAAGAACGAAAGUUAGAGGAUCGAAGACGAUCAGAUACCGUCGUAGUCUUAACCAUAAACUAUGCCGACUAGGGAUCGGAUGAUGUUAAUUUUUUAAUGACUCAUUCGGCGCCUUACA
Molecule: ribosomal RNA, 499 nt
Filed under: uncultured Glomeromycotina
Lineage: Eukaryota; Fungi; Glomeromycota
Description: partial small subunit ribosomal RNA
Rfam family: Eukaryotic small subunit ribosomal RNA
Source: RNAcentral